RNAcentral lists this ribosomal RNA (497 nucleotides) under uncultured bacterium. Its description in RNAcentral is "partial 16S ribosomal RNA". It matches the Rfam family "Bacterial small subunit ribosomal RNA", at positions 28 to 507 of the family's 1533-position model. The record is from RNAcentral.
GAUGAACGCUGGCGGCGUGCCUAAUACAUGCAAGUCGAGCGAACAGACGAGGAGCUUGCUCCUCUGACGUUAGCGGCGGACGGGCGAGUAACACGUGGAUAACCUACCUAUAAGACUGGGAUAACUUCGGGAAACCGGAGCUAAUACCGGAUAAUAUAUUGAACCGCAUGGUUCAAUAGUGAAAGACGGUUUUGCUGUCACUUAUAGAUGGAUCCGCGCUGCAUUAGCUAGUUGGUAAGGUAACGGCUUACCAAGGCAACGAUGCGUAGCCGACCUGAGAGGGUGAUCGGCCACACUGGAACUGAGACACGGUCCAGACUCCUACGGGAGGCAGCAGUAGGGAAUCUUCCGCAAUGGGCGAAAGCCUGACGGAGCAACGCCGCGUGAGUGAUGAAGGUCUUCGGAUCGUAAAACUCUGUUAUUAGGGAAGAACAUAUGUGUAAGUAACUGUGCACGUCUUGACGGUACCUAAUCAGAAAGCCACGGCUAACUACGUG